UACGUAGGGUGCGAGCGUUAAUCGGAAUUACUGGGCGUAAAGCGUGCGCAGGCGGUUUUGUAAGCCAGAUGUGAAAUCCCCGGGCUUAACCUGGGAAUGGCAUUGGAGAACUGGCUAGCUGGAGUGUGGCAGAGGGGGGUGGAAUUCCGCGUGUAGCAGUGAAAUGCGUAGAGAUGCGGAGGAACACCGAUGGCGAAGGCAGCCCCCUGGGCUGACACUGACGCUCAGGCACGAAAGCGUGGGGAGCAAACAGG
This 254-nucleotide ribosomal RNA is filed under the name uncultured bacterium. RNAcentral describes it as "partial 16S ribosomal RNA". It matches the Rfam family "Bacterial small subunit ribosomal RNA", at positions 524 to 776 of the family's 1533-position model. The record is from RNAcentral.